Molecule: ribosomal RNA, 503 nt
Filed under: Pseudomonas azotoformans
Lineage: Bacteria; Pseudomonadati; Pseudomonadota; Gammaproteobacteria; Pseudomonadales; Pseudomonadaceae
Description: bacterial SSU rRNA
Rfam family: Bacterial small subunit ribosomal RNA
Source: RNAcentral
CCUGGCUCAGAUUGAACGCUGGCGGCAGGCCUAACACAUGCAAGUCGAGCGGUAGAGAGAAGCUUGCUUCUCUUGAGAGCGGCGGACGGGUGAGUAAUGCCUAGGAAUCUGCCUGGUAGUGGGGGAUAACGUUCGGAAACGGACGCUAAUACCGCAUACGUCCUACGGGAGAAAGCAGGGGACCUUCGGGCCUUGCGCUAUCAGAUGAGCCUAGGUCGGAUUAGCUAGUUGGUGGGGUAAUGGCUCACCAAGGCGACGAUCCGUAACUGGUCUGAGAGGAUGAUCAGUCACACUGGAACUGAGACACGGUCCAGACUCCUACGGGAGGCAGCAGUGGGGAAUAUUGGACAAUGGGCGAAAGCCUGAUCCAGCCAUGCCGCGUGUGUGAAGAAGGUCUUCGGAUUGUAAAGCACUUUAAGUUGGGAGGAAGGGUUGUAGAUUAAUACUCUGCAAUUUUGACGUUACCGACAGAAUAAGCACCGGCUAACUCUGUGCCAGCAGCC